AGCAAAUAUAUCAAAAUAUGCCCACAAUGUAUCCCUGUUUCUCUCACUCUCUCCAUCUGUUUUUGUUUCUCACUAUUAUUCACACAAGCACAAACCCUAGACCACCAUUCAAAACCACCACCACCAAAAAUGUCUCACGCCGUGGUGGCGUCACCAUAUUUCCCCACCGUGAGGUUGGCGGCGAACUGACCAAGGCAGAGGUCGGCGAACUGAGGUCGGUGGCGAACUGACCAAACCAGGUAGCAGUGCGUGGAGCCGCCUACACUCUACCAUUGCUAAUCCUCUCGAUUUUAGACCUCUUACAUCAGAUCUUUGCCUCUCAAGAGUUUCUUCACCUUGAAUUUGCUAAACCUGUAGUUUUUGCUUCUUGUAAUUAAUUUGAUUGACAUGGAUUGAAGAAAACCCCUUUUUCUUAUACAAUUGAAAUAUGAAAGCCCCAAAAAAUAUAUUUAUAAAUAAAUAAAUAUAUCAGAUUACACAACCCUAGCUCUUUGGCUUCCAAGGGUUUUAUCAAAAUGCAUAGAAGUUCUAAUGGAGCAAAUAUGAAGGAGCUCAGUCUCAAUCUCUCUCAAUCGUCUCAUUGAAGAAGGCUAUUUACUUGCAGCAGAGGAAGAGGAAGGGGUAGAGGAAGGGCACUGUGGAAUGGACAGCAGCAGUAUGAUUUCACCAAAGUUUCUUGGAUCUUGUCAUCACCCACCUUACGGUAGGCUGCCUGAGCAUCUUGACACGACCACUCCAUUUUCUGGAUUUGGCAUAAAAAAGAUGGGAGAGUCUAAGGUUAUAUUUCUACAUAUUUUUCUUUGAGUUUUUGUUUUGAGAACAUCUGUCAUGUAUUUUUGUAACUGUUUAUGAUAGUAUGAAUAAUGAAACAUUUAAUAAUUAAUUUCUAUUCAGAUAAUUGGAUGGAUAUUCAUUUAAUAAUGGAAUUAUCUUUUUUAUCUCCAUUAAUUGUUAAGUUUCAUAUAUAGUUCCAGCACUUCAAUUAAUUUGGUUGUGAACAUUUUUCCUAGUAUGUUCUCUUUUUAUUCUUUUGCUCACAAGAAAUGAUCUGGCUUCUGUUGUCUUCCAUAGGUUCAACGAGUAAAUACUUAUGGGUAAGGAAGCUUCUUGUUCCUCUAUUUUUUUUGGGUUUAUUUUCUUUGUGUUUCUUGAUUUAAAUAAAAAGAUUCCGGAAACCUAAGAUAACGGCAGCAUAGUUGGCGAAAACAUUGCACACCGGUAUUUUUUUCAUAGUUUAACAGUGUUUUAGAAAUGUCGGGAAAGUAGACAUUAUUAUUAGUGUUAGUGCAAUGCAAUACACCAUGUUACUUGCU
Non-coding RNA from Camellia sinensis, 1313 nucleotides. NCBI's taxonomy places the organism in Eukaryota, Viridiplantae, Streptophyta, Magnoliopsida, Ericales, Theaceae. The record is from RefSeq and is a predicted model, not a curated record.